Transfer RNA from Culex pipiens (northern house mosquito), 74 nucleotides. It matches the Rfam family "tRNA". From Rfam's summary of the family: Transfer RNA (tRNA) molecules are approximately 80 nucleotides in length. Their secondary structure includes four short double-helical elements and three loops (D, anti-codon, and T loops). Further hydrogen bonds mediate the characteristic L-shaped molecular structure. tRNAs have two regions of fundamental functional importance: the anti-codon, which is responsible for specific mRNA codon recognition, and the 3' end, to which the tRNAs corresponding amino acid is attached (by aminoacyl-tRNA synthetases). tRNAs cope with the degeneracy of the genetic code in two manners: having more than one tRNA (with a specific anti-codon) for a particular amino acid; and 'wobble' base-pairing, i.e. permitting non-standard base-pairing at the 3rd anti-codon position. The record is from Rfam. NCBI's taxonomy places the organism in Eukaryota, Metazoa, Arthropoda, Insecta, Diptera, Culicidae.
GCAGCCGUGGCUGACUGGUUACGGUGCUCGCUUUGUAAGCGAUUGGUCCUGGGUUCGAUUCCCGUCUGCUUGCA